Non-coding RNA from Pelobates fuscus (common spadefoot toad), 447 nucleotides. The record is from the annotation of a RefSeq genome assembly. NCBI's taxonomy places the organism in Eukaryota, Metazoa, Chordata, Amphibia, Anura, Pelobatidae.
GUGAGAUCAUACUGAGCUGAAUAUCUGCAUAACAGUUCAAACAUGGAAAAUGUAUUGUUGUUACUUUGUGUUUUCUUGACCAUAACAAGUGUCUUUUCCCAGUUAUCCUUCUCAGAAUCUGGUCCUGGGGCCGUGAAACCAGGAGACAAUAUGAUGUUGACCUGUAAAGUCACUGGAGCAUCCCUUACUGACAGUUCUGGAGUAUAUUCAGUGCAAUGGGUCAGACAGCCUCCAGGGAAAGGUCUCGAGUGGCUGACAGGGAUAUGGCAUGAUGGUACUAUACGCUAUGCCACAUCUGUGCAGGGUCGUUUGACAAUAUCAAGGGACACAACUAAGGGUGAAGUUUAUGUUAAAUUCACUGGAGCAAAAACAGAAGACAGUUGUGUUUAUUACUGUGCAAGAGAUGCACAGUGUAAUAAAUGUGCCAAAAUCCUAUACAUAAACUAA